CCUACGGGUGGCUGCAGUGGGGAAUAUUGGGCAAUGGGCGGGAGCCUGAACCAGCCAAGUCGCGUGAGGGAAGACGGUCCUAUGGAUUGUAAACCUCUUUAGGCGGGGAGCAAUGCCGGGCACGCGUGCCCGGAGGGAGAGUACCCGCAGAAUAAGCAUCGGCUAACUCCGUGCCAGCAGCCGCGGUAAUACGGAGGAUGCGAGCGUUAUCCGGAUUUAUUGGGUUUAAAGGGUGCGUAGGCGGAUUUUUAAGUCAGCGGUAAAAUGUCCGGGCUCAACCCGGGCCGGCCGUUGAAACUGGGGAUCUUGAGUGGGCGAGAAGUAUGCGGAAUGCGUGGUGUAGCGGUGAAAUGCAUAGAUAUCGCGCAGAACCCCGAUUGCGAAGGCAGCGUGCCGUGCCGCCACUGACGCUGAGGCACGAAAGCGCGGGGAUCGAACAGGAUUAGAUACCCCAGUAGUC
RNAcentral lists this ribosomal RNA (460 nucleotides) under uncultured bacterium. Its description in RNAcentral is "partial 16S ribosomal RNA". It matches the Rfam family "Bacterial small subunit ribosomal RNA", at positions 338 to 795 of the family's 1533-position model. The record is from RNAcentral.